Molecule: unclassified non-coding RNA, 254 nt
Filed under: Xerocomellus sp.
Lineage: Eukaryota; Fungi; Basidiomycota; Agaricomycetes; Boletales; Boletaceae
Description: partial contains 5.8S ribosomal RNA, internal transcribed spacer 2, and large subunit ribosomal RNA
Source: RNAcentral
AACGCACAUUGCGCCCUUCGGCCAUUCCGGAGGGCAUGCCUGUUCGAGCGUCAUUAUAGACCAUCAAGCACUGCUUGGCAUUGGGCCUCUCGUCCCUGCUGUGGACGGACCCUAAAGACCUUGGCGGAGGCACGGAUCCUCAAGCGUAGUAGUAAUACAUCCCGCUUACGGAGGACUCCGGGUCGUCUGCUUCCAAAACACAAAAAGACCAUAAGGUUGACCUCGGAUCAGGUAGGGAUACCCGCUGAACUUAA